AACGAACGCUGGCGGCAGGCCUAACACAUGCAAGUCGAACGCCGUAGCAAUACGGAGUGGCAGACGGGUGAGUAACACGUGGGAACAUACCCUUCGGUUCGGAAUAACUCAGGGAAACUUGAGCUAAUACCGGAUACGUCCGCGAGGAGAAAGAUUCAUCGCCGGAGGAUUGGCCCGCGUCUGAUUAGCUCGUUGGUGAGGUAACGGCUCACCAAGGCGACGAUCAGUAGCNGGUCUGAGAGGAUGAUCAGCCACACUGGGACUGAGACACGGCCCAGACUCCUACGGGAGGCAGCAGUGGGGAAUAUUGGACAAUGGGCGCAAGCCUGAUCCAGCAAUGCCGCGUGAGUGAGGAAGGCCUUAGGGUUGUAAAGCUCUUUCACCCGCGACGAUGAUGACGGUAGCGGGAGAAGAAGCCCCGGCUAACUUCGUGCCAGCAGCAGCCGCCGCU
This 451-nucleotide ribosomal RNA is filed under the name uncultured bacterium. RNAcentral describes it as "bacterial SSU rRNA". It matches the Rfam family "Bacterial small subunit ribosomal RNA", at positions 29 to 525 of the family's 1533-position model. The record is from RNAcentral.